CGAGGGGCAGCAUGGUCUUAGCUUGCUAAGACUGAUGGCGACCGGCGCACGGGUGAGUAACACGUAUCCAACCUGCCGUCUACUCUUGGACAGCCUUCUGAAAGGAAGAUUAAUACAAGAUGGCAUCAUGAGUCCGCAUGUUCACAUGAUUAAAGGUAUUCCGGUAGACGAUGGGGAUGCGUUCCAUUAGAUAGUAGGCGGGGUAACGGCCCACCUAGUCUUCGAUGGAUAGGGGUUCUGAGAGGAAGGUCCCCCACAUUGGAACUGAGACACGGUCCAAACUCCUACGGGAGGCAGCAGUGAGGAAUAUUGGUCAAUGGGCGAGAGCCUGAACCAGCCAAGUAGCGUGAAGGAUGACUGCCCUAUGGGUUGUAAACUUCUUUUAUAAAGGAAUAAAGUCGGGUAUGUAUACCCGUUUGCAUGUACUUUAUGAAUAAGGAUCGGCUAACUCCGUGCCAGCAGCCGCGGUAAUACGGAGGAUCCGAGCGUUAUCCGGAUUUAUUGGGUUUAAAGGGAGCGUAGAUGGAUGUUUAAGUCAGUUGUGAAAGUUUGCGGCUCAACCGUAAAAUUGCAGUUGAUACUGGAUAUCUUGAGUGCAGUUGAGGCAGGCGGAAUUCGUGGUGUAGCGGUGAAAUGCUUAGAUAUCACGAAGAACUCCGAUUGCGAAGGCAGCCUGCUAAGCUGCCACUGACAUUGAGGC
RNAcentral lists this ribosomal RNA (700 nucleotides) under uncultured Bacteroidales bacterium. RNAcentral describes it as "bacterial SSU rRNA". It matches the Rfam family "Bacterial small subunit ribosomal RNA", at positions 63 to 752 of the family's 1533-position model. The record is from RNAcentral. Lineage: Bacteria; Pseudomonadati; Bacteroidota; Bacteroidia; Bacteroidales.